Beta vulgaris subsp. vulgaris (sugar beet) is the source of this 975-nucleotide long non-coding RNA. RefSeq lists it as uncharacterized. Lineage: Eukaryota; Viridiplantae; Streptophyta; Magnoliopsida; Caryophyllales; Amaranthaceae. The transcript is spliced from 2 exons. The record is from RefSeq and is a predicted model, not a curated record.
UAGAAAAUAGAUAUGUUCAAUUUAACAUGGACAAAUGAAAAGAAAAGUGUUCAAACUAAUAUGAACAAACAAAAAAAAUAUUUAGACUAUAAUUAUGAAAUCACAACAAGAAUCCGCGCUUUUAGCGUCUGAAUUUACCGUCCGCCUCAAUCAGACGCAAAUUAGCGUCCGUUCUGGAAAAUUAGCGUCCGUAAUUGUGACGGACGCUAAUUAGCGUCCGUUUUUAGAAAAUUAGAAUCCGUUUUUUGAGCGGACGCUAAUUAGCGUCCGUUUUUCAAAAAUUAGCAUCCGUUUUCAGAACGGACGCUAAUUAGCGUCCGUUGUUCGAAAAUUAGCAUCCGUUUUUGGAACGGACGCUAAUUAGCGUCCGCUAUCUAAAAUUUAACAUCUGUCGGACGGACGCUAAUUAGCGGCCUAGCGAAGCUAAAUAAACUCAUAUAUCAGAAUCAAAGUCGACCCUCAUUCUUUGCCUCACCUGAUACUCUCUCACCUCCCUUAUACUCUCUCACCUCCCUUGUCCUCUCUCUCAUAUCUCUCCUCCAUCAGACAUCACAUAUCUCACCUUUCAUUCUCUAAUUCCUUUCAUUUUCUCUCUCUUUAUUCAUUCUACCCACCCAGAUUUUUCUCUCAUCUUUCUCUCACAUCUAUUUACUCUCGUUUCUCUCCUUCUCUUUUUUUCUCUAUUCUAGAUCUGGAAACACAACCGCCCCUGCUUUGUCCCCAUACUCCGCCGCUUCGUCCCCAGCCGCUUCGAUUUGAAGAUAGAAUAUCUUCAGGGUUUGUUCCUGAUUUAAAGUUGGAUUUCUUCAAGAUUGGAGUUGGAUUUGAGCUCCAGAUUAUGGAUUCUUGUACCUGCAAUAUUGAAGAUGGAGUGUAAUUUUUUAAGUUUGUUGUUUCAGAUUGUAUUAUUAUGGGAUAUUUUCCAAUAUAUUGUAUAAGUAUUUUUAUAUUUAAAUAAAAAUAUUUCAUUUCUCA